AUCGCUGAUGGAACGCUUGCGGAGUGCAGUGGAGUUGGUGUCUGAGGAGGCCUUAGAAGAUCGGUUGAACAGACCUCGGAUCCCUCGCAGCUGUUGGCCCUGAAGAGCAGGAGAGAAACAACAGAAGAGGUCUAUAUUAUAUAAUAAAAGACCUCAUCACACACCGGGCAUCAGGCUGCUGAAGGCAACGGUCCGCUGACCAAUAAAAUCCCGUCCGAUAGGGUCAUGAUCCCAGACCAGGAAACGGACCAGAGCCACCUCAGCCAUGUGGAGAGUGAAGGACAGGGUCUCCUCCCAGACUGGGUUAAAGCCUUAGAACCAACAAACACAUCAGUCCACAGGAAGUCCAAUGAUCUCCACCUCCACAAAAGGAUCAAUGAUCUGAUGAAGAUGAAAACAAGAAUGUACAAUUUAUCAUUUCAUCACCCGUCUCUUCCAAUACAAAGACUGUGAGAACAGUAAACAAAUGAUGUGGUUAAACGCUGGAACUAACAGUGUCUGUGAUGGAGAUGGAAGACUAACAAAUACUGUGCCACAAGGGGGCGACUUCCUAUUAAAAGUUCUUUA
Long non-coding RNA from Cynoglossus semilaevis (tongue sole), 567 nucleotides. RefSeq lists it as uncharacterized. Lineage: Eukaryota; Metazoa; Chordata; Actinopteri; Pleuronectiformes; Cynoglossidae. The transcript is spliced from 3 exons. The record is from RefSeq and is a predicted model, not a curated record.